RNAcentral lists this ribosomal RNA (407 nucleotides) under Verrucomicrobiota bacterium. Its description in RNAcentral is "Verrucomicrobia bacterium partial 16S ribosomal RNA". It matches the Rfam family "Bacterial small subunit ribosomal RNA", at positions 355 to 776 of the family's 1533-position model. The record is from RNAcentral. Lineage: Bacteria; Pseudomonadati; Verrucomicrobiota.
UGGGGAAUAUUGGACAAUGGAGGAAACUCUGAUCCAGCAAUUCUGUGUGUGUGAAGAAGGUUUUAGGACUGUAAAACACUUUUAGUAGGGAAGAAAAAAAUGACGGUACCUACAGAAGAAGCAACGGCUAAAUACGUGCCAGCAGCCGCGGUAAUACGUAUGUUGCGAGCGUUACCCGGAAUUAUUGGGCUUAAAGGGCAUCUAGGCGGUAAGACAAGUUGGAGGUGAAAUCCUGUGGCUCAACCAUAGGCUUGCCUACAAAACUGUUGAACUAGAGUACUGGAAAGGUGGGUGGAACUACACGAGUAGAGGUGAAAUUCUUAGAUAUGUGUAGGAAUGCCGAUGAUGAAGAUAACUCACUGGACAGAAACUGACGAUGAAGUGCGAAAGCUAGGGGAGCAAACAGG